This is a long non-coding RNA of Eriocheir sinensis (Chinese mitten crab), 420 nucleotides long. RefSeq lists it as uncharacterized. NCBI's taxonomy places the organism in Eukaryota, Metazoa, Arthropoda, Malacostraca, Decapoda, Varunidae. The transcript has 3 exons. The record is from RefSeq and is a predicted model, not a curated record.
UUUUACUAUGAAGAAUAGUGUUUGCUUCAAUGUAUCAAGAUAUUUCACAGGUGUAAGAUACACAUUUCACCAGAAAUUCAUCUGCAUGCAUGGCGACAGACGCCAUAAAGGAGCUAUAAAAACAAACACAGGAUGCAGUGUAACAAUGGACAUGAAAAUCAAGCUCAUCACAAGAGACACCUACAAGAGAGAUAAGGAUGUCAGGACCCAUCCAUGUAUGAUCAUCAUAAAGGGUGUCCACAAUCAUCCUACAGACUCUGCAUCUGCUCUGCAACAACUGAGAGUUUUACCAGACACCAAGAAUGCUUACUUCAAGUACUUCAAUAUUGGCAUGUCUGUAGCGCAGGCUGCAAGAUGUUACCAAGAUCAAAUAAAUGUCAGUGCAAGUCUCGCUACUAAGGCCAAUUCUGCCAUAAAUCC